RNAcentral lists this ribosomal RNA (375 nucleotides) under uncultured bacterium. RNAcentral describes it as "bacterial SSU rRNA". It matches the Rfam family "Bacterial small subunit ribosomal RNA", at positions 284 to 671 of the family's 1533-position model. The record is from RNAcentral.
CAGCCGGCCUGCGACGGCGACCGGCCACACUGGGACUGAGACACGGCCCAGACUCCUACGGGAGGCAGCAGUGGGGAAUAUUGCGCAAUGGGCGAAAGCCUGACGCAGCAACGCCGCGUGCGGGAUGAAGGCCUUCGGGUUGUAAACCGCUUUCAGCAGGGAAGAAGCGAAAGUGACGGUACCUGCAAAAGAAGCACCGGCUAACUACGUGCCAGCAGCCGCGGUAAUACGUAGGGUGCAAGCGUUGUCCGGAUUUAUUGGGCGUAAAGAGCUCGUAGGCGGUUAGUCACGUCGGAUGUGAAAACUCAGUGCUUAACACUGAGCCUGCAUUCGAUACGGGCUGACUAGAGUAUUGUAGGGGAGAUGGGAAUUCCU